AUGUUGAACUUCAAGGACGGUGAAUUCAGAUGCCUCAAGUACCUUGUUGUUGAGGACUCGGCCUUGACUAAAAUCACUUUUGAGAAGGGAGCAGCAUGUGAGCUCGAGAACAUGGUUUUGUCUUUCACCAGUGCAUGUUCUAUUUCUGGAGUUGGCUGGCUUCCUAAAUUGAAAGAUCUUAAAUUGAACGACAGCUUCUGUGGUUGUUUGAUAUCAUCAUUUGACAAUGCCGCGAAACUAGCCAAGCUGUCUCUUUGUGGUACAUUGCUAGAGCAAGAUGCUCUACAACUGCUCACCAAGAAACCAAAUAUACGUUGUCUUGUGCUCUUGGACAAGUCUUUUGGUGGAACACAGAAUGAGAUUACAUUAGAAAAUGAUGAGUUCUUAUGGCUGAACCUCCUUGUUGUUGACUGUUCCGCCAUCACCAAGAUUGUCUUCAACAGCGGUUCUGCUCCUAGGCUCGAGAAGAUUGUCUGGUCAUCUUCCACAUCUCUCUCUGGCAUCGACAAACUUCCAAGAUUGAAGGAGCUCGAGUUCAAUGGUGACCAAGUCCCUGAUGAGGUGAUGGAGGCCAUUAAAAACCACAAAAACAAUCCUAGUCUUAAACUCAAUGGACCAGAAACUCAAGACUAA
This 633-nucleotide ribosomal RNA is filed under the name Triticum aestivum (bread wheat). RNAcentral's name for it is "partial small subunit ribosomal RNA". The record is from RNAcentral. Lineage: Eukaryota; Viridiplantae; Streptophyta; Magnoliopsida; Poales; Poaceae.